RNAcentral lists this ribosomal RNA (227 nucleotides) under uncultured Bacteroides sp. RNAcentral describes it as "partial 16S ribosomal RNA". It matches the Rfam family "Bacterial small subunit ribosomal RNA", at positions 383 to 607 of the family's 1533-position model. The record is from RNAcentral. Lineage: Bacteria; Pseudomonadati; Bacteroidota; Bacteroidia; Bacteroidales; Bacteroidaceae.
CUGAACCAGCCAAGUAGCGUGAAGGAUGACUGCCCUAUGGGUUGUAAACUUCUUUUAUACGGGAAUAAAGUGAGCCACGUGUGGCUUUUUGUAUGUACCGUAUGAAUAAGGAUCGGCUAACUCCGUGCCAGCAGCCGCGGUAAUACGGAGGAUGCGAGCGUUAUCCGGAUUUAUUGGGUUUAAAGGGAGCGUAGGCGGGUUGUUAAGUCAGUUGUGAAAGUUUGCGG